CCUCCGCACUAGCCGCGGACCCACCCCACUGCUCGGGCGUGCACUAGACCAAACACACUCUGAACGAUAAUGAGCACAGAGCCAAAUUCGCAUCCGCGCACAGCCCCGCGACGCCCGCGUUCCUAAGCCGUGCACCAGCGUGAUGCACCCGGCCGUGCGCUUCCGAACAGCCCGGGCUGCUGUGCGCCAGGCACACAGGCAGACCCAGACACGCGACGCGACCAUGGCGCAGCCACUGCGCAAGGCUGCGCGCCCAGCUGCCGCCCCCUCAACUCCCGGGCUCUGUCAGCAACGAAUU
Molecule: long non-coding RNA, 298 nt
Filed under: Chlamydomonas reinhardtii
Lineage: Eukaryota; Viridiplantae; Chlorophyta; Chlorophyceae; Chlamydomonadales; Chlamydomonadaceae
Description: long non-coding RNA (CREI_LNC001308)
Source: RNAcentral